UUUCUUGCAGUUUUCCCAACGCAUUUGUUCCUUGCCAGCAUCUGAGACAGGACAUGGCAUUGCUCAGGGGUCUGGUCCAAACUCGGCAGCCCCCCUCGCUGAAGCACAGUCAGGAGGCCAAAACAGGGUGCUGUGAGGGUAAGGUGGGUUGAAAUGCGGAGGAGAGCUCUGGAUGUGCCCAGCUGAGAGCAAAGCUCAGUCCACGCAGCUCUUGGGUGGAGGGUGAAGUCUUGUUCCCACUUGCUUCAUGGCAGACCUCCUGCCUGGUCCUAAUGCUGGACUGGGCACUGCCCAUCGGCAUGCUCCCAGGUCUGCAAACCAUAAUGUCAAGGCAAUAAUUUAUAAAUGUUCACCCAGAAGGAGUUCAACAUUUCUAACACCUUCAUCCAUGGACUAUUUCUUUCACCUGCGAUGUCUUUUGGCACUAUCCUCUUCCGUCCUGUUGGUGCUUAGAGGUUCCAGAGCAGCAACGAAAGUGCAAUCACAAGAGUUGGAAAAGAAACAGAUUGAGCCCACUUUGCUGAGCCCACUGCAGAGGACGAGCUUGAGACACCCGCCUGGAAAGUCUUAGAGAGAAAUAUCCUCUGCCUAUGCCCCUUGCUUAAUACUCUUCAUCUGGAUAAAGUUAAAGAAAUCCCAACCCUCUCCCAAACACAAGAAUGUAUUUAGCAUUUAACAGAAGGUCAAAAAUUAAUUUCUCUGCGAGGAAGUAGUAUGUCCCACACAUACGAGCGAUUUACUUCCCAUAAUUUGUGUGCUGGUUGGACUUUGCUGAGCUGUGGGCUGCAGCUCGUUCCUGUGUUUGCACUUAGCAAAUAUGGACAGACCCACACUGAAACAGGUCCCUGGAGCUGUUUUGUUUCCUCUGACCAGACCCAAGAUGAAGCCCCUGUUCCCCAAACCAAAAGGAAAGAUAACUGGUCCCUCAUUACUCACCUCUCCCGGAGCCCAGGAAGACAUCACCACCCACUGAGCCCAUGGCAUGUCUCCUGGGACUUCCCUGGCACCUUCUGAUGGUUAAACAGUUUCCUCAUUAACUGAGUUUCAGGACACAGUUUUAAUGAGAUCAGGUGCUGGAUAGUGUUUGAUGUGGUGCCAACCGCAAACCAAAAUGUAUUCUGCAGAGGGAAGGGCCGGAAGGGAUAAACCCUACCCUGAGAUGAGGGUCCUGAAUGGAAACCUCAGACCCAAAUGGCCUGGAAAAAAAUGGAUUUAAGUAUUAUGCUUGG
This is a non-coding RNA of Phalacrocorax carbo (great cormorant), 1229 nucleotides long. The record is from RefSeq and is a predicted model, not a curated record. Lineage: Eukaryota; Metazoa; Chordata; Aves; Suliformes; Phalacrocoracidae.